UACGAAGGGGGCUAGCGUUGCUCGGAAUCACUGGGCGUAAAGCGCACGUAGGCGGCUUUCUAAGUCAGGGGUGAAAUCCUGGAGCUCAACUCCAGAACUGCCUUUGGUACUGGAGAGCUUGAGUCCGGGAGAGGUGAGUGGAACUCCGAGUGUAGAGGUGAAAUUCGUAGAUAUUCGGAAGAACACCAGUGGCGAAGGCGGCUCACUGGCCCGGUACUGACGCUGAGGUGCGAAAGCGUGGGGAGCAAACAGG
Molecule: ribosomal RNA, 253 nt
Filed under: uncultured bacterium
Lineage: Bacteria
Description: partial 16S ribosomal RNA
Rfam family: Bacterial small subunit ribosomal RNA
Source: RNAcentral